AAAAAUGCUUUGAAAAGGACAACAAUUUUUUGUACGACUUUUAGAGAGAGAAGCCUAGGCUGGAAGCUUCUUAGUACGGCAAAUUAUUUACCCCCUUGGAGCAGCGACAGUGAAUGUACUAGUAAUUGUCGACGGUAACGGUCCGUUAGCCGAUCGAGAGCUUCGUCUAUACCUGCACUCUUUUUAAGUGUUGGCAGUAGAAGGAAGAAGGGUGGAACCACGAGAAUACAGCCUCGUCCCUUUU
Molecule: non-coding RNA, 244 nt
Filed under: Viridibacillus arenosi
Lineage: Bacteria; Bacillati; Bacillota; Bacilli; Caryophanales; Caryophanaceae
Description: T-box sequence
Rfam family: T-box leader
About the family: Uncharged tRNA acts as the effector for transcription antitermination of genes in the T-box leader family. T-boxes are found upstream of many aminoacyl-tRNA synthetase genes and some amino acid biosynthetic genes usually in Gram-positive bacteria. The anticodon of a specific tRNA base pairs to a specifier sequence within the T-box motif, and the NCCA acceptor tail of the tRNA base pairs to a conserved bulge in the T-box antiterminator hairpin.
Source: RNAcentral